GACGAACGCUGGCGGCGUGCCUAAUACAUGCAAGUAGAACGCACAGUUUAUACCGUAGCUUGCUACACCAUAAACUGUGAGUUGCGAACGGGUGAGUAACGCGUAGGUAACCUGCCUGGUAGCGGGGGAUAACUAUUGGAAACGAUAGCUAAUACCGCAUAAUAUUAAUUAUUGCAUGAUAAUUGAUUGAAAGAUGCAAUUGCAUCACUACCAGAUGGACCUGCGUUGUAUUAGCUAGUAGGUGAGGUAACGGCUCACCUAGGCGACGAUACAUAGCCGACCUGAGAGGGUGAUCGGCCACACUGGGACUGAGACACGGCCCAGACUCCUACGGGAGGCAGCAGUAGGGAAUCUUCGGAAAUGGACGAAAGUCUGACCGAGCAACGCCGCGUGAGUGAAGAAGGUUUUCGGAUCGGAAAGCUCGGUUGUAAGAGAAGAACGGGUGUGAGAGUGGAAAGUUCACACUGUGACGGUAUCUUACCAGAAAGGGACGGCUAACUACGUG
Molecule: ribosomal RNA, 505 nt
Filed under: uncultured bacterium
Lineage: Bacteria
Description: partial 16S ribosomal RNA
Rfam family: Bacterial small subunit ribosomal RNA
Source: RNAcentral